Long non-coding RNA from Cloeon dipterum, 513 nucleotides. RefSeq lists it as uncharacterized. NCBI's taxonomy places the organism in Eukaryota, Metazoa, Arthropoda, Insecta, Ephemeroptera, Baetidae. The record is from RefSeq and is a predicted model, not a curated record. The transcript is spliced from 5 exons.
AACGCAUUACGCCUACUAAAACGUGCGAAGCUUCAUGCCCUGCUAAAACUUGCACGAAAGAUGCGAGUCUCUUUAAUGCUACUAGCGGCUAUCUCUUAGACUACACGUAUUUUGGCGAUUGGUACGAUGGGUGCGGCCGCUUCCUUUUAACAUACCUCGCCAAGACAUCUGACUGGACGGCUGCUCGGGAAAAUUGUUGCGCUGUUGGCAUGAACCUGGCUUCCAUUGAGUCUGCGGGAAAACUAAAAUGCGUUUCCAGAAUUGCCUCAGAAUCUUCUCCACGGAUCAUCGGCGAUUUUUGGCUUUCUGGCACGGGCUCAGGGUGCGAUUCAAAUUUCCGGUGGUGCUCUUUGGGUCGCGAUUUCGUCAACUCUGAGCUCAAGUGGAAGGCUGGACAUCCCAAGGCGGGUCUCAACUGCGUUUAUCUCGAGGCGAGAAACGAGUCCGUGCUCUUGGCCACUGCUUACUGCUCCGAGCAGAAAUAUUUUCUCUGCGAGGCCAAAAAGGCAGCAA